ACGUGAUGAAACUAACCCAACAUUGCUGGAAUUACCGGCAGAUUGAUGGUGGUGAGUGAAGGUUUCCUGAUG
Molecule: small nucleolar RNA, 72 nt
Filed under: Acanthisitta chloris (rifleman)
Lineage: Eukaryota; Metazoa; Chordata; Aves; Passeriformes; Acanthisittidae
Source: RNAcentral